UGUAUAUGUAUAUGUGUAUAUAUGUGUGUGUGUGUAUACACACACACACACACACACACACACACAUAUA
Molecule: non-coding RNA, 70 nt
Organism: Podarcis lilfordi (Lilford's wall lizard)
Lineage: Eukaryota; Metazoa; Chordata; Lepidosauria; Squamata; Lacertidae
Source: the annotation of a GenBank genome assembly